GGCUUAGCUAACCAAAUCCUCUGUCCGUGGACCCUACCUGUGCGCCUCCCCAACCAGCGGCGCUAUUAGUCUUUACUUGGUUUCCAAGUUCACCCACCUUCUAUUUCUUCCCUCUCCCAUCUGUAACACUAAAAACAAUUCAAAAACCAAUCUUCCCUUUUGUUGCUCAUCGCCCAUCUCUGUCUCUCUCUCACUCCGUGCAUCUUCCAUAUCUAUCCAUCUCUUUCUUUACCCUUUUUUU
RNAcentral lists this unclassified non-coding RNA (241 nucleotides) under Hevea brasiliensis (rubber tree). Lineage: Eukaryota; Viridiplantae; Streptophyta; Magnoliopsida; Malpighiales; Euphorbiaceae. The record is from RNAcentral.